UUGUGUAUUUGUGAGUCAAGAUGUGUGUAUCUGUGUGUCGGUGUGUAUCUGUAUGCCAGUGUAUGUGUAUAUAUGUGUGUCAGAUACAUAUACACACUGACACAGAGAUGCACACACUGGCGCAUACAAACACAG
Non-coding RNA from Pelobates cultripes (western spadefoot toad), 135 nucleotides. The record is from the annotation of a GenBank genome assembly. Lineage: Eukaryota; Metazoa; Chordata; Amphibia; Anura; Pelobatidae.